UAUCUUUUUCUCUCCGUAGGACAUGUUUCUGAGGGGGUAAAACCCAAAGGUAGGGGAGCUCCGAAGAAGGCUCCUGUUAGAAAUUAGAAAAUGCCGACUGUUGUUGAUAGUGAAGAGGAAGAUGAUGAGGUGCUCGAGCUGAAAGAACGACUGACAACGUAUAACAUUGAUUCUCCUUCAGAUCAAACAGGUAUAUGAUCAUCCAUGUGCAGUAAGCUUUCAGAUCAAAGUGAAGCUGAGAAUAGGGUGUUAGUUGAUUGCAAAUUGAUAACCAGUAGAUGCACAUCCAUGGAGUUUUCGCUUGCGAUUGUUGAGAAGCUAUUUGGCUGCGAGAAGGCAUUGGAUCUUGCUGUUAAUGAGAACUUUAAAUAGACAUAUAACUAUUAUGUUGGCAUUGUAUUUUUGUGAAUGGAAAUGAAUUAUUGUGUUUGAUUGAAUGAA
Long non-coding RNA from Magnolia sinica, 441 nucleotides. RefSeq lists it as uncharacterized. The record is from RefSeq and is a predicted model, not a curated record. The transcript has 2 exons. Lineage: Eukaryota; Viridiplantae; Streptophyta; Magnoliopsida; Magnoliales; Magnoliaceae.